CCUACGGGGGGCAGCAGUGGGGAAUUGUUCGCAAUGGGCGCAAGCCUGACGACGCAACGCCGCGUGGAGGAUGAAGACUUUCGGGUCGUAAACUCCUUUCGACCGAGAUGAAUACUCUCUUACCUAAUACGUUUGAGAGCUGACAGUAUCGAGGGAAGAAGCCCCGGCUAACUCCGUGCCAGCAGCCGCGGUAAUACGGGGGGGGCAAGCGUUGUUCGGAAUUACUGGGCGUAAAGGGUUCGUAGGUGGCUUGCUAAGUCAGACGUGAAAUCCCUCAGCUUAACUGGGGAACUGCGUCUGAAACUGGCGAGCUUGAGUGCAGGAGAGGAACGCGGAAUUCCAGGUGUAGCGGUGAAAUGCGUAGAUAUCUGGAGGAACACCGGUGGCGAAGGCGGCGUUCUGGACUGUAACUGACACUGAGGAACGAAAGCCAGGGGAGCAAACGGGAUUAGAUACCCCGGUAGUC
This 466-nucleotide ribosomal RNA is filed under the name uncultured Acidobacteriota bacterium. RNAcentral's name for it is "bacterial SSU rRNA". It matches the Rfam family "Bacterial small subunit ribosomal RNA", at positions 338 to 795 of the family's 1533-position model. Lineage: Bacteria; Pseudomonadati; Acidobacteriota. The record is from RNAcentral.